RNAcentral lists this long non-coding RNA (1878 nucleotides) under Vulpes vulpes (red fox). Its description in RNAcentral is "lncRNA (ENSVVUG00000012893.1)". Lineage: Eukaryota; Metazoa; Chordata; Mammalia; Carnivora; Canidae. The record is from RNAcentral.
UGGAAAUAGGGUCACUGCAGAUGUGGAUAGUUAAGAUGAGGUCAUAAUGGAGUAUGUGAGACCUUAAUCCAAAAGGACUGGUGUCUUGACAAGAAGAGGAGAAGAAACACAGACACACACCAUGUGAAUGCCAUGUGAGGAUGGAAGCAGAGAUCGAGGUAUGAGGUUAUAAGCCAAGGAAUGCCAAGAACUGCUAAAAACCACCAGAAGUGGGAUAAGCAAGGAAAAAUUCUCCUAACAGGUGUUGGAGGAAACAUGGCCCUGCCAACACCUUGAUUUUAAAUCUCUAGCCUCUGGAACUGUGAGGAAAUAAAUUUCUGUGGUUUCAAGGCACCCACUUUGUGGCACCUAGAAAAUGAAUAUAGACAUACAAGAGUUAAAUGGUGUAAAGUCCCUUAAUUUUGAACAAUCAAUUGAAUAACUGUUUCCAUCAAUGUGGUGGUGAGUACAGAAAGAUUCAGUGUUGAAAAGGUAUCAGAGAACCUGUUGCAUCUUUCUUGAAGGCCCUGUGGAGGAGGUAUGAUUGUGGGAUCUGUGAGAAAAGAGAAAAGUGGUAGAAAGAAGAUGGUUUCACAAGGCGUUGGUGUUUGCAGCCCUUGGCCUACAAUCCUCCCACGUGUGUCUGCAACCUCUCUCCUAUCAGAGUGGAUCUCCAGGUUCUUUGAGGAUCAUCCCUGUAACUUCUAUAGUAGCCACCGCCCCCAGUUCCCUACAAUACCUGCUAUGGGACUGUUGACUAAAGACGCCUCGGUAUGUGACCGGCUGUCACUUCCAACAAAAUCUUUGAAGAUGAUAACAGCUCACCCGAGACGAGGACAGCAGUGUAUAAAGAGGCAGACGCCAGACAAGAGACUUUUUUCUUGUGACAGUUUGAGCUCCCCUGCUGCAAUUAACUUUUUCUCCCCCUCCUUCUCCUCCUUCAUCUCAUGCAAUGCGGUUCAGAAAAAGGGGGCCUGUAUUUUCCUCCUGCUGAUGGAAGUUGAUUAGCAGUCAGGUGGAGUGAUGCUCAGGGGACAACACAGCGGAUUAAUUAAAUCACUUCUACUGGCUAAGUGGUGACACUUUGAUUUAUAGCAGAACUCACUCAACCAGACAGCAGCUUUUCUUGCAUGCCGAAGGAGGAAGGGCCAAAGUGGCCACUGGUUGGAGGCCGAGGGCUUUGCAAACUUUAAAGACAAGCGUCCUAGUCAUUAAAGCAGAGGCCCCUGCUGGGCUCCUCUCUUUGGGGCGGGGAGGCCUGCAGGCUCAGGAGAGGAACCAGAGAGAAGGGAGCAGCUGAGGCUGGCCUGCAAGCUGCUGAGGAGCAAGAAGACCCGUUUCAGAACACACAGAACUCUAUUACACCCCUACAGAAAAAGCAACCUCGAAACGGCAGGAUCAUCUCUAUGUCUGUUGGGUGUUUUGUUUUGUUUUGUUUUGAAGUAAUAUCUAUGCCCAACGUGGGGCUCAAACUCACGACCCCGAGAUCAAGAGUCGCAGGCUCCAUCAACUGAGCCAGCCAGGAGUCCCUCUAGGUCUGUUUUUACUGGACUGCUCGUCGGUAUUGCAUCUUGGCUCACCCGCAGGAAAUAGCCCCGUGAUGGUCCUACCAUAGGGACUCCGGGAUAUCUGUGACUCUUCCAUUGCCGCCUGGAGUCUUCUCAAUGAGGAGCCCUCAGACCAAAAUGCACGCGACAGCUGUGCUUCUGGUGCCAUGUUUUCUGUUAUGAGGUGGCUAUAAUCCUAUUUCGCUCUUUGCUUUGGCUACUAAGAAGGCCAGAGCUGAACAUGCAGCCCAAACUGCAAGCCCUCACACAUGCUCUGUGUAUGAACUCUUUAUGGAUCCAUCUCGCCCAACUUCCCUUUCCCUAGAAAACUCCUGUUUCUCUUAUCUUAAAA